This 465-nucleotide ribosomal RNA is filed under the name Vreelandella stevensii. RNAcentral describes it as "partial 16S ribosomal RNA". It matches the Rfam family "Bacterial small subunit ribosomal RNA", at positions 338 to 795 of the family's 1533-position model. The record is from RNAcentral. Lineage: Bacteria; Pseudomonadati; Pseudomonadota; Gammaproteobacteria; Oceanospirillales; Halomonadaceae.
CCUAUGGGGGGCAGCAGUGGGGAAUAUUGGACAAUGGGGGCAACCCUGAUCCAGCCAUGCCGCGUGUGUGAAGAAGGCCCUCGGGUUGUAAAGCACUUUCAGUGAGGAAGAACGCCUGGUGGUUAAUACCCAUCAGGAAAGACAUCACUCACAGAAGAAGCACCGGCUAACUCCGUGCCAGCAGCCGCGGUAAUACGGAGGGUGCGAGCGUUAAUCGGAAUUACUGGGCGUAAAGCGCGCGUAGGUGGCUUGAUAAGCCGGUUGUGAAAGCCCCGGGCUCAACCUGGGAACGGCAUCCGGAACUGUCAAGCUAGAGUGCAGGAGAGGAAGGUAGAAUUCCCGGUGUAGCGGUGAAAUGCGUAGAGAUCGGGAGGAAUACCAGUGGCGAAGGCGGCCUUCUGGACUGACACUGACACUGAGGUGCGAAAGCGUGGGUAGCAAACAGGAUUAGAUACCCCGGUAGUC